UAGUUGGAUUUUGGGUUGUGACAUCCUUAAACCUCUCCCAUGCUUCAAAAAUAGUUUCCGUAUCUUUCUGGCAAAAGUUAUGGAUUUCUCUUAUAAACUU
This 100-nucleotide small nucleolar RNA is filed under the name Nicotiana tabacum (common tobacco). RNAcentral describes it as "Plant small nucleolar RNA R71". It matches the Rfam family "Plant small nucleolar RNA R71". Rfam says of the family: R71 is a member of the C/D box family of snoRNAs containing the C (UGAUGA) and D (CUGA) box motifs. Multiple nearly identical copies of this snoRNA have been identified in Arabidopsis, and it is thought to function as a 2'-O-ribose methylation guide for 18S ribosomal RNA. Lineage: Eukaryota; Viridiplantae; Streptophyta; Magnoliopsida; Solanales; Solanaceae. The record is from Rfam by way of RNAcentral.